This 5122-nucleotide long non-coding RNA is filed under the name Sus scrofa (pig). RNAcentral describes it as "lncRNA (ENSSSCG00035035015.1)". The record is from RNAcentral. Lineage: Eukaryota; Metazoa; Chordata; Mammalia; Artiodactyla; Suidae.
AAUGGAAUAAUCAGCCUCUUUUUAGAAGAUAAUUUUUGGAGGAAGAAGAAUCCCCAUAAUUGACAAUUGACAAUACUCAUUUAUGAAACACCUGCUAUUUUAAGAUCAGUAAUAAAGGUCAACACCUGCCUGUCUUCUACAUGGAAAUUUACUGUAACAGAAAAAGGAAACAUUGGUUAAAACUUCAUUGGAUUGCCUCCUUUAAAGGUCCAGAGCAUUACUCCCAGGGAGAAUAAAUCAGUCCUAAGGAGGCAAGUAAAACUGUGGGUAGUUUAAUGUUUAAUCAAUAUUUGUUAUAGCUGUCAUUAAUUUGGGGUCAAAUUCACAACACAUGAGUUUUCCCACGUCGUACAUGGGCUUUACAUUAAAUUGGCCUUUCCUGGUGGAUUUACAUCCAUUUUAUUAGUUCAUUAAUUUACCUUUUAAGUUACUACUGAAGUUUACACCUGUAUCUCUCCUCUACAAUAUACUUAUUUAUCUGUGGCUUAUUUACUAUCAACAAAGAGUUAGAAAAAACACUCUUUAAUUUUCCUAUGGCUCCUAGGAGGAAAGAUGACUCACUUUGUAACAAGUUACUUUAAGACAUUUCACUCUGCUAUGCCCUUUCCUGACUCAACACAUGAGAAAAGCUGCCACUGAUAAAAAUCUUCCCUUGUUAGGGGAGAAAAUGUCAUCUCUGCUCUAGGUGCUGAGUGAAGAAUAGCUAUAAAAUAAUGCACAUCAAAAAUACGUGGUUUAUGGAAUUGAAUAUACAUAGCCUAAUCCCCUGGAAAUGUAUGAAAGUUUUCCUGUCUCCUUCCAAAAACAACCUGAGAGUGUCAAGAAAGAACAAAGACGCCACCUAAUACAUCCUCCUCCCUGACAUUUUUCUCUUGACAAGGGAAGAAAUUUGUCAAUAGAAGCAAACAGUCUCCAUCAUUUUGAGUCCCAAUUAAGUAACACAUCAGCCUGGUUUGCCCCCAUCUUCUCUGCAGCAUCACUACUUCACGGUCCAAGAAAACACGUGGGUUGUGGCUUCUCCAUUUUUUAAGAUUCAUGCUUUUGACCAAUAAAGAGCAACAAAGGAUAUUUUUGUUCUAGAGGAAAUAAGAGAAGGAAACAAAACCCAUCCAGCUCAACAGUGGACCUCAGUCAAGUCAUUAUAAACCCUCUGGCUUGCAACACCUAUUUUAAUAUACCUGCUCUCCUCCCCUAACCAGUAACCUCACUCUCUUUCCAAGUCUUUAUUUAUGCACAUAAACAGGUCAAGUAGCAAUAAUAUAAACUGCUCAAAGUUGGACAAAAAAAGGGACAUAACUACUGUGGAUGAUUCAUAGCAAUUUUUUUCCGUGCUGCUACAGGGUCUCUUCUGACUGCUAAAAUCUCCAUCUUCUGAAGAGAAGAAAGCCAAUUAUAUCUGGGAUAGACACGCCAGUUUUGGACUCUGGAAUAUGACAUUUUAUCAGAUAUAACAGAACCAUUAUUUACUGCUCUGAAGAAACAGGUAGUAUCAGUUAUUACUGGUUGGUUAGGGUGAGGAAAAAAAGAUCCAAGUCAACCAUUAACUUGCUUUUAGUGCUCAACCUUUUAUAAAAACAGCUACCAAAAUCAUAUUUAUUUUUUGACUUUGGGGUUGGAAGGGCCAUCUGAAACCAGUGACUACUCAAUGGAAUUAACCAGAGAGAAAAGUCAUCUGAAAGGUUCAAAGCCAUCUCCUCAAUUUCCAACAAUGCUUGUUAACAGAAAAAUUUUUGUGUCUCCACUAAAUUCUUUCAAUGCUCUUUUUUUUUCAAUCUAAAUCAAAUCAGAGAGCAUUCUUAUGCAAUCAUCUGAAUUCUAUCCAUUUAAAGCAUAAAUUAAUUAUGAUCGAGUGGGAGUUUGGGGUUAGAAGAAAGAAACUAUUACAUUUAGAAUGAAUAUGCAGUGAGAUCCUACUAUAUAGCACAGGGAACUAUUUCCAAUCUUUUGGGAUAGAGCAUGAUGGAAGACAAUAAAAUUAAUGUGUGUGUGUGUGUGUCAAGGUCAUAUAUACGUGUAUGACUGGAUCAGUCUGCUGUACAGCAGAAAUUGGCACAACAUUGUAAAUCAACUAUACUUUAAUUUUUUUAAUUACAAAAAAAAAAAAAAAGAGAAACACCUUAACUUGAAAUCUAAAGAGCGAAUGGCUGUAGCAUAAAGACAAGAAAACAGCAUAAAUAAAGCUUAAGGCUUAAGAUCAUCCAGGAGAGCUGUCAUCAUUUUUAAGUCAAUGUAUCUCUGAAUUAACAUUUUACAUAGCCAAGGCCUCUGCCCAAAUAUCUUGCACCCUCUCUGUGUCAAUUUGGAUAGUCUAAGAUCUGCUUAGGUAACAAAUAAUCCUGAAUCUCAGAGGCUGAGAAAAAUAUAAAUUAAUUUCUUACUCACACGGUAUGCCCAUCAUGGGUCAACCGCAGCUAGGCUUCACCCUUUCUUCAUUCUGGGAUCAAGGUUAACGGAGCAGCCUUCAUCUGAAACAUUAUUUGUUGCUAGGGAAGAAAAUAUUACAAAGAGGGAAAGGAAAGUAUGAUGAAGCAGGAAGUGGUUUUCCAAGCUUCUGUCCCAGAGUGACAUGCAUCACUUUAGAUCAUAUUUCACUGCCCAAAGCAAGUCACAUAAUACGACCUGAGUUAAAGAGGGCAAGGAUAUGUAACCCUCUUCUAACCGAUGAUGGCUCUCCUUACCUCUAGUCUAUUUCCUAUCAAAGCCAGUUCCCCCAUUGCUCCCUCAGGCCCUCUUCAAAUCAGACCAUAUUCCACCUCUGCACAGAAAUUUCUACAAUUGAGCUCCUCCUGCUGGUAUAUGUAUCAGCACUGGAGUAUGUAGAAAUGGGGCACGGGAGCUCUCCAGUAAACAAGUUCCCAUUGUGGCACAGUGGAAAUGAAUCCAACUAGGAACCAUGAAGUUGCAGGUUCAAUCCCUGGCCUCAUUCAGUAGGUUAAGUAUCCGGUGUUGCCAUGAGUUGUGGUGUAGGUCUCAGCCACGGCUCAGAUCCUGCAUUGCUGUGGCUGUGGUGCAGGCUGGCAGCUGUAGCUCCAAUUUGACCCCUAGCCUGAGAACUUCCAUAUGCUGUAGGUAAAAAAAAAAAAAAAAAAAAAAAAAGAAGUUGGUGUUUGACCCCCAGAGUUGUGGAGAUUAAGUGAGACAGUGUAGUUAAACCAGUGUAUGGGGUAAAUCCCAGUAUAUUGUAUUAAUGCUUUCUUCUUGUUUCCCUUUUAUUUGAAAUGUGUUUCUAGAUAUUGUUUAAUCUGCUGAAUAAAGCUCUGGUAGAAGAGAGAAAUUUUUUUUUUCCAAAAAUGGAAGGGAGAAAAGGUGAGUUGCUUUGGGGUUCUUGCUCAGGAAAGUCCAACAGCUGGAAAUCUGAUAGCUGCAAUGUUCUCUAUCACCUACCACCAAAGAAUGAAAGGCUUUUAUGAACUGGGAGUCUGGGAUUGGCACAGGCACACUGAGGUAUAUGGAAUGACUGGCCGACAGGGACCUUCUGUAUAGCACGGAGAACUCUACCUGAUAUUCUGUGAUAAUCUAUAUGGGGAAAGAAUCUGAAAAAGAAUGGAUGCGUAUACAUUUAUAACUGAAUCCCUUUGUCGUACAGCAGAAAUUACCACAUGGUCAACCAACUGUACUUCAAUAAAACUUUAAAAAAUGGGGGAAAAAAGUUGGUGUUUGAGUUGGGUCUCAUUGGGCUACUCCACAUCUCCUGUUGCCAUGGGUGCAGGUUCAUCCACUCUCAAGAAUUUUUUAGCGGCAGAGGCUGAGAAGUACCAGGGCCUACACUAUCUGGCACUUCCUGCCUCUCUAAGGUGGCAACAUCCACUGUGCUGUCCCAUAACCACAUGUGACUAUUGAGCACUUGCUUUGUGGCAACUGUGACCAGGGACCUGGAUGUUUAAUUUUAUUUAAAUUGAUAGAGAACAUUACCAUCUUUGGUAGGCAGGAUAAUGGCCUUCCAAAGAUGGCCAUGUCUAAAUCCCUGGAACAUGUGGCUAUGCUUUGUGACACGGCAAAGAGUAAGUGUGCUAAUCAGUUGACCUUAAAAUAGAGAGACUGUCCUGAGUCACCCAUAUGGGCCCAAGUCCAGAACCAAUUUCCUUUCCUUGUUAGUACAACUGAGGUAAGCAGAUGGAUUCAAGCAUCACUUGCUAAAAAAACCAAGGAGCUGGGAAAAAUGAGUAACGAAAAUGCACACAGAAUGAGUCAGGGACACAAAGGAAUCUGCUCCUAAGAAUCUCAGCAAAAGUAUAGAGGCAUUUGCUGGGCCUGCAUCGCCUCUUUUCUAGUAACGGCUCUUGACCCACAGACCACUGAGUGCAAUGUACCCCCGUAUUGCUUACUAGGGGUUCUUCUCUUUGGACUUCCCUGCACCUAGAUCAAAAUGGCUGCUUAUUCUUGUUCCUCAAAACGGCAGGGCUCUCUGUGGAAGUAUUCCAUCAAAACACAUCCUCCAGAUUACAAUCAGAGGGACAAGCCCAGUUCCGAGUUUCUCUCCCAGGAUCUUCGCACCCUAAAGAACGAUCGUACACCAGCUGGCCAGUUAUCACGUCCACCCACUUGCUCAUCUGGCCUGUGACUCACCCCACAGGUCCUCACCUCCCCCUUCCCCACAUGGCCCACCCUUCAGGGAAGUGGUCUUUUAUAAUUAGAGUUCAAUAUUUAAAAUUAGCUUAUGCAUUCAGUAACCAAAACACAAAUAGAAUGUAGUAGGUUAUACUCUCACAAGGCCAUUCCAGGGUGUUUAUACAGGUCUUCCUAAUAUAGCAGCCUAUUUAAUAAGAAUGAUCCAAAUAUGUCUUAACUCUUUAGGAUCUACAAGUGUGCCUCAUACAAAAUUGAACACACACUCUUACUUUUACCUGUAGAGAUCCCCAUCUGGCAUUACUCUAAAGAAAAUCUUGGCUUUUCCUGGUGGCCUAGUGGUUAAGGAUUCAAUGUUGUCACUGCUGCAGAUGGAAAUCGAUCCCUGGUCCAGGAACUUUGGCAUACCACGAGUGUGACCAAAAAAAAAAAAUCUUUCUCCAUAACGAAAACCAUCAGACUAUUAGAUCAUACAGAUCUAACAUUACUGGAUUGAGAAAACAAUGCAAUUUCUAAAGGAGCUGAUAAUAUGCACUAUCCCUUAAUGUCAAGGCCA